RNAcentral lists this long non-coding RNA (209 nucleotides) under Hordeum vulgare. Its description in RNAcentral is "long non-coding RNA (HVUL_LNC007018)". The record is from RNAcentral. Lineage: Eukaryota; Viridiplantae; Streptophyta; Magnoliopsida; Poales; Poaceae.
GCAAGAUAAACAACUAAGUGAUAGCAAGAUAUAUGACAAGAAACAAUAUGACUAUCACAAAGUAAAGUGCACAAGUAAAGGGUUUGAGUAAGAGAGGACCGAGGCACGCGGAGUCGACGAUUUAUCCCAAAGUUCACACCCUUGAGGAUGCUAAUCUCCGUUUGGAGCAGUUUGGAGGCACAAUGCUCCCCAAGAUGCCACUAAGGCCG